Molecule: microRNA precursor, 119 nt
Filed under: Podarcis lilfordi (Lilford's wall lizard)
Lineage: Eukaryota; Metazoa; Chordata; Lepidosauria; Squamata; Lacertidae
Source: RNAcentral
AACUAAGUUUGUUCUUGGUAUAAGCUUUUGUGUGCAUGCACACUUCUUUGGAUACCUGAAGAAUACCUGAAGAAGUGUGCAUGCACACGAAAGCUUAUACCAAGAACAAACUUAGUUGG